Non-coding RNA from Poecilia formosa (Amazon molly), 82 nucleotides. The record is from Rfam. Lineage: Eukaryota; Metazoa; Chordata; Actinopteri; Cyprinodontiformes; Poeciliidae.
GCUGUGAUGGCAGAGCGGUUAAGGUGUUGGAUUUGAACUCUAAUGAGGUUUUCUUGCACAGGUUCAAACCCUGCUCACAGCA